UACCUCCGGCGGUACCCGCUACCCCAUCUUCUUCUUCCCUCCAGUUUGUGUUUAGUCUUUCCUCAACUUCUUCUACAACAUGGACUGCUCGCCGUUCUUUCUUCUAGCGGUCUCUCCUUAGUCGUUGUCCUAGGUGUCCUGUCCUCGUGCUACUCCCGUGAUCGACUUCUGUUGGAUGACUCUGAUAGUGUCCUUCUUGACUAUGAGUUACUGUGUAAAAGUAAGUGACGGGAGGAAGUUAGACUGUAAUAUAUGUUCCAUGUAAGUCCUCUACGUAGUUGCUUUUAAUACCCUUGAUAACUCGUUUUGAGGUCCUGGUUUCGUCUACUAUCAAAGUGGUGUUGUUAUCUGUGGUUCUGUAAACUCCCUCUGAACGUAGUGCUUCACCGUCGUUCACUUCUACCACCUCCUCUUAGAUUAGGUACCCUGUGUACGUACAAGAUGUUGUACUUAGACGUUGUCAACGUCCUCGGACUCCUACAACUGUAUUCUUCUCGUCGUCGAUUUUGUUUCAGUUCGUGUCCGACAUCGUUACUUCUUCCUCUUUAUUUUCUUGGUCUUGUGAGUGAACUUGUUCUGCCUCUACUACCUAAGGAGCUACUUCUUCUGCAACUCUCUAAGGAUGUUUUACUUGUUCUACGACGUAGUCUUCCGUUAGACUACUUGUGGUUGUCAUUAAAGUUCGGUGUAAAUCCGUACGUUAAGUUUUGUUUUCUUCUUCGAGUCCUUAGAUAUUUAAAGAUGAGUUUUGAUCGUCCGAAAAGUCACCGAUGACAUCGUUAGAGGUCUUGUUGUUCGUUUUUCUCCUUGUUACUCCACUGUUCCUAGUGAUACUUCACGUUGUUCACCCCGUUCUGUUUUCUUUAUCUCCGUCUUUCGCAACAUGGGUACUCUUUUUCAUGUCAGUAACGAUUUUGACUAACAUUUCAGCACCACCAGUAUAGUCUCUUUCCUCCAAAAACCCUUUAAUGUUCUGUUGUUGAGCUUGUGUUGGUACUCAAUUGUGGUUUGUCAUCUAAGAAGUCCAGUGUAUUCAUGUACAGUCUACUUCUCUUCACGAACUAUGCCCAAAACUUCGUAUGUUUGGAUCUUUGUUCUUCCUAACAACGACAGGAUCGAAUAAACUCUCCUCCUUACCGAAUAGAUGGGAUGUGUUUCUUCGUACACUGAUUGAUACGUCGUUGUUAUUUGUCUCUAUAGUGUUUGAGAUUGUACUACCUUCAUCACGUUUACAAGUUGUUCUUCGUUCGUCUUUUAGGAUCCAAAACGAUGAGCAAACUCUAACUACCUCUCUUAUUUCACUCUUCGAAUAAGACCUGUCUACAAUCCAGUUCUUACUACAUACUGUAAACGCCACUAACGUAAUCAAAGCUGUGAUGUAAGGACUGUUUAUCUAUGUUGGAUGGCAAACGUGGGAAACAACCUUAUAGGGGCGUACCGUUGUGUAUGAACAAACGAACACGGAAGUAAUAGUUGCUCUGCUUUCUUUGUAAACGAACCAACAAACUUGUUAAGGAUUACCGAUACCCUCCGUUCGUAGGAUAUAGCUAGUAAUGUCUAGUCCUGUUCCGAUACGUUCGUCGUUAACUUUUUCAGAAAGGAUUACGAUAGGUAUCCUCGACGGACAAAGUGUAUUUCUUUUUCCGUCUCCUCUUUCAACCGGGUACAAAGGUUCGAUUGCUUCCGGAUAUACUUCUAAAGGUCCUGUAACACCUGUUGAGAAACUGACACCUUCUUAUACUUUGUGUGACCGUUCUUUACUAACUUUUCAUGUUUCAAGUACUGUAUUUCAUGAAGUCGCUGUACACCCUUUUAUCCUUUUUCAAGUAUGGUCACAUAAAGUUCCUGUUUAAGAAGGGUAAGUAUGUUUGAUGUCGUUCUUCACUUCCUUGUUUAAGGGAGAAGUUUUUUCCCCAACCUCGAUGUAAGUCACGAUGGUCGAAAAACUCUCUCAUACUGGCCUAAGAACUACAACAUGUACUGUUCCUUCUUAUUACACUAGUACAAAGAUCUUUGUUCUUCCAACGUUCGUUUCGAAAGACCAACUUUAUGUCGUAUCUUUCCGUUCGUGUACUCGACAUGUUGGAACCUUAUAAGUCUUUUAAGGUCGUAUUUUACCGUCUGUGUUGUUCCAACGAACAGAAACUCGUUCUUUUUCUGUUUAUGAUGUAUCAAUGGGUUCGACUCUUGAUGGGACAUUUUCUUGCGGCCUUUUCCAAUAUGGAUCACGUUCAACCUGACUUGCUUCUUCUCAUGAGGACGUAGACAACAAGUAAGGUCUUUCUACCUGACAACACGAGUGUGUAUGAUUCUCAUUACUAGGUAGAGUUGUAGCUCUUCUAUGGUCUUUUUAUGUUGUAACUGUCUACCUCCUUUUUACUGAUGUUCGAGCUAUAAUGUUUCUGUGGUCGAUAACGUCAUCUCUUGAGGUGUGAUUCCAUGUUACACAAUCGUUCCUUUAACCACGUACACCGUAGUUAUCGAAGUUUCUUCUUCUCCUUCAUACUUAUAGACGACCCUCUUAACCUGUCCUAUGUCUUUUCUAACGCUCUUUACCUACUACUUCUUCUUUGACCUCUACUCCCAGUCUCACAUUGGUGUUCUUGUCAGUGAAAAUAUGGUUGUUGUCCCCCACUUCUCCCCUGUUGGUGCUGUGACUGUUAUGUUCUGGGUCUAUAUCGGUUUUGUUUCCCAUCCGGUUCCUACGAUUGAUAAGCGCUUCGUUAUUUCGUCUUGUUCAAGAUGUUUACGAGCGUGACACCCAGUGUUUUCGUGUGAUAGUUCUUAACGUCGUUGGAACUGUUCGUUAUGUUAGAUAGGUCUUCGUUGUCUGCUUUCGUCGGCUUGGGAUCCUUACAUUUCUUUCCACCCCUCUUCCUACUGUCGUUCCUUUCCUUGGCUCCUUUCUUCUUCUACCUGCUUAGUCGUUGUUUGUCUCCGAAUCCCCUGUUCUUAGACUCCUCCUGUAUC
This 2970-nucleotide ribosomal RNA is filed under the name Triticum aestivum (bread wheat). RNAcentral's name for it is "partial small subunit ribosomal RNA". Lineage: Eukaryota; Viridiplantae; Streptophyta; Magnoliopsida; Poales; Poaceae. The record is from RNAcentral.